Long non-coding RNA from Lepus europaeus (European hare), 1304 nucleotides. RefSeq lists it as uncharacterized. The record is from RefSeq and is a predicted model, not a curated record. The transcript is spliced from 4 exons. Lineage: Eukaryota; Metazoa; Chordata; Mammalia; Lagomorpha; Leporidae.
GGCCGGGCGCCUCCUCCCUCCGUGGGCGGGCCAGAGGCGUGAUCCAGGAAGGAGCGGGAACCUGGGCUGCCUGGCCGGCCUAGACACGCCCUUGCCGGCCUCAAAAGGAGCCCGGAAACUGAGCACCCCCUAGUCAACUCCAGCGAUUCCCAGGAAAUAGGCCGGCGUGUUCUGAAAAGGGUGUGUCUCCUAGGGUCCAAGGGAAAGGGCUGCAACCUCGGACAGAAAGAAAGAAAAAACUUUGGAACUCAAUGCAGCUUCCAUCCUCACAACCCCAGGACCUACUCACAGGCUUCACUAAGACCACAUUGAAGAGGGACUUUGCAUCCAGAAACGUUCUAAAUCCCCCCUUGGGCCAUUCGCCAGCCGUCCUUGACACCUGCUGCCUCCUGAAGCCGGUUGGGGCUGGGGACCUUCUGUUGCAGGACCGACACGGGCCUGCGGGCGCCUGCAGGCCUGACUCUAGCCAGCCCCGGGCACUGGAGUGACCUGGUCCGCGACCUUCCCCAGCGGGAGCCGGCGCGCCCAGGGCGCUGAGCUCCGAUUAGCACCGAGGACCUGCUUCCCGAAGCUGGACCCGGCCACGAACAUCCGCGUCUCUACCGUCGUCCCGCCCAGCUCCCCGUCAAGCCCGGGAACCCUCGCGGCGGGAAGAUCGGUGGUCAGCGGUCCAGGCGCGACCCAGGCCCCGGCCCCGCCCCGUUCCCUGCUCCCGCGGCCGGGGCCCGGCAUGCCCCGCGGUGAGCCGCGCAACCCCCGCCUCCCUGUUGUACGGCCUCAGCCGUGGGAAUGCUGGAUGCUGCGCAGACGGUGCGAAUUCCUGGUGAAAAACAGCUGCCCUCAGCGUUUUCAUAGCACCAAGAACUUGUAAGCUACCUGAACUCCGACUGUAUUGAUGAACACAAAGGGACCAGUGUGACCUGAGUGGUUGAUAAGCACAAAAGCAGGUUAUAAAACAGUAUAUUCCAUACAGUCCCAUCUUUGAGUGUAUGAGUGGAAAGAGGCCAACCUAUGUGAAGUGGGACCAGGUAUGAUUUUUGUAUUACUGAUUGUAUUUGCUAAAUGUUCUACUAUGUUUUGAUUGGUUUUUAAACCAGGAUUUAAAAUAUACACGCAGGUUUUCAAACUCACCAAGUUCAAAAAAGUGUUGCUCUUAGUUCCAGACCCUUUCUCUGCAGGCAAGGACUUUUAUGUUCAGAACCACUGUUGCUAAGCAAAAACAAAAAGACACUUGCAUUUUGAUUUACAAAUGAAUAAAGGAUUUGUUUCUGGGUUUGUAGCUCCCGUUUAGAGGAAAGGAGAUU